Molecule: RNA transcript, 1793 nt
Organism: Gossypium raimondii (Peruvian cotton)
Lineage: Eukaryota; Viridiplantae; Streptophyta; Magnoliopsida; Malvales; Malvaceae
Gene name: lysine-specific demethylase JMJ32
Exons: 5
Source: RefSeq, a predicted model, not a curated record
AACAAAAUUUCACAUUUUCCAGAAAUCAACCCCUUAAACCCUAAACCCUAGAUUAGUGAAUCAGGUAUAUGACAUUAUUGCAGCAAAAAAUAAUAACAAAAAUUAUUGGCACAAUUUCUCAUAACAAAAUUUCACAUUUUCCAGAAAUCAACACCUUAAACCCUAAACCCUAGAUUAGUGAAUCAGGUAUAUGACAUUAUUAGCGGCCAUACCAAACCCUAACUUGGAUUAACAGCGACUAAAUUUCCAAGCAAAACAGCCCAAAUCCAACAAAGUAAAAAAAUGGAGGGCAAAGUGGAAUCCCUCUGGGAGGAAGUGAGGGAGCUCACCCUAGGAACCACCGUGGACCGCCUUCAGUCGCCGCCCACACCUCUGCAGUUCCUCAGGGACUUCGUUUCCCAAAACAAGCCCUGCAUAAUCUCCAAUGCCAUCCCUCACUGGCCAGCCCUUUCUCUUUGGUCCACCCCUUCUUACCUCUCCACCGCCCUCUCCUCCUCUCUCGUCUCCCUCCACCUCACCCCCGACGGCCAGGCCGAUGCCCUUGUCCCUCACCCUUCGCAGUCUUCCCUCUGUUUCGUCUCAGCCCACGUCCAACCCACCCUUUUCCCUCAAGCCCUUGACCUCAUUCGCCGACCCCCCAACCAUUUGGUGGCAUAUUUACAGCAGCAAAACGACUGCUUCAGGACUGAGUACAGUGAGCUCAAGUCCGAUUGCGAUGCCCAUAUUCCAUGGGCUUCCGAAGCCUUAGGUUGCCUACCUGAAGCCGUCAAUCUCUGGAUCGGAAAUCAUCUCUCCCAGACUUCUUUCCACAAAGACCAUUACGAGAAUCUCUACGCCGUCGUUUCCGGCGAGAAGCACUUUUUGCUCCUCCCCCCAACCGACGUUCACCGCAUGUAUAUUAAGGAGUACCCAGCAGCUCGAUACUCCUAUUCCCAGGAGAAUGGGGAGUUUCGUUUAGAAUUCGAAGAACCGGAGAGAUAUGUGCCAUGGUCUAGUGUGGAUCCUUGUCCUGCAAGGGCGAGUUUGAAGCAGGAGAGCUUGAAAUUCCCAUUGUAUUUUAACGGGCCUAAGCCAUUUGAGGUUACUGUCAAAGCUGGAGAAGUUCUUUACUUGCCGAGUAUGUGGUUUCAUCAUGUUAGACAGAGUCCUGGAGACGGAGGAUGCACUAUCGCUGUUAAUUACUGGUACGAUAUGCAGUUCGAUAUCAAGUAUGCAUACUUCAACUUCUUGCAGUCGCUUCCUUGCCGAUCAAUCGAUGAUCAGACGAUACCGGAGGGUGAUUUUGAGGAUGAUUCAGGACCUCAUGCUUCCUCCAACCAUUUAAACAGUAGAUUUUCUGGUGAUGAAUCUGCAACAAACAAUGUGGAGAUCCAUAAAGACCGUGAUAAUGUACAAGUACAUGAACGAACUUUCGUUCUUGAUAGUUCUAUGUUUGUGUGAUUCUUUUGAGGCAGGGAACUCAAGAAAAUGUCAAUGACUGCGAGGGCUGCUGCCGGAUGUCAACGUCACCGAAAUUUUCAUGGUCUAGAGAGAACUGUUGUCUUCUACCUGGAAAUGAAAGCAACAGUAAUGACCCUUUGAACAUUUUUGGUGUGGUGUUGUGAAGUGAUCAAUAGACAUAUGGUUCAGGCCGUGAUCUAAUAGUAAGGAAUGAGGCAGCAAUUCUUGGGAUUUAAAUUUCAUAUUUGUUGAAUAUCAGAGAUGAUGAUAUGAACCAGUUGGACUAAUUCUAGAAUGAGGCAGCAAUCCUGGCUACGUAGGAGAAGAAGGGACGCUUAGUCAGAGAUAAUCUC